RNAcentral lists this ribosomal RNA (492 nucleotides) under uncultured bacterium. Its description in RNAcentral is "partial 16S ribosomal RNA". It matches the Rfam family "Bacterial small subunit ribosomal RNA", at positions 29 to 507 of the family's 1533-position model. The record is from RNAcentral.
AGUGAACGCUGGCGGUAGGCCUAACACAUGCAAGUCGAACGGCAGCACAGUAAGAGCUUGCUCUUACGGGUGGCGAGUGGCGGACGGGUGAGGAAUACAUCGGAAUCUACUUUUUCGUGGGGGAUAACGUAGGGAAACUUACGCUAAUACCGCAUACGACCUACGGGUGAAAGCAGGGGAUCUUCGGACCUUGCGCGAUUGAAUGAGCCGAUGUCGGAUUAGUUAGUUGGCGGGGUAAAGGCCCACCAAGUCGACGAUCCGUAGCUGGUCUGAGAGGAUGAUCAGCCGCACUGGAAGUGAGACACGGUCAAGACUCCUACGGGAGGGAGCAGUGGGGAAUAUUGGACAGUGGGCGCAAGCCUGAUCCAGCCAUACCGCGUGGGUGAAGAAGGCCUUCGGGUUGUAAAGACCUUUUGUUGGGAAAGAAAAGCAGCAGGUUAAUACCCAGCUGUUCUGACGGUACCCAAAGAAUAAGCACCGGCUAACUUCGUG